This is a long non-coding RNA of Exaiptasia diaphana, 534 nucleotides long. RefSeq lists it as uncharacterized. The transcript has 4 exons. The record is from RefSeq and is a predicted model, not a curated record. NCBI's taxonomy places the organism in Eukaryota, Metazoa, Cnidaria, Anthozoa, Actiniaria, Aiptasiidae.
AGAUAAGAGCACAUCUCAUUACUUAGAAAGCAUCGAUAAAUACUCUGACGAGCAUAGCAUUCCCCGUUAUUUUCGUUUCUCUAACUGUCUUGGAAGAUAGAAUAGCUCACAACUAACUCUACAAUCAAAACAUAUCACCAGCAAGACUCAAGCGUUCAUUAGACGAGUCUUUUCUUCGUGUGCGGUGUCAGUAUGAACUACAGAGGGUUUCUACUUUGUUAUGUUGUCAUCAUUGCUGUCGCCAAAUCAAUGCCAAGUGACUACCAUAAACAACUUACACAACGAUGGCAACUCAGGGAUGUUUUUAAAAGGGACGAAAUAGAUCCAUGUUCUUUAGUAGGAGAUGACUGUUCAACCAACGAAAGUCAUUGCACAGGAUACUGUGACGGACAAGCAGUUAUAUGUUAUCAAGGGGACUACACUUGCAGCGUUGUAGGUAACAACCUCGGUGCUCCUUAUAAAAGAAGAAAAGACAAUCCUAACUAAGCAGACACAAAAAUAAAAUUUAAAAUGCAAAUGAUCUCUAUUUUUUUA